AUGGAGCGGCAUAAACUCGGGUCGGAUUCUUAUUACACCAUUCUAGGAGUCGGGUCGGAUUGUUCCGCAGAAGAGAUUCGGCGGGCUUACCGGCGGCUGGCCAUGCGAUGGCAUCCGGAUCGGUGGGCGAGAAGACGAGCAGCCCCUGCUUUGUUAAGCAACGCCAAAGCCAAAUUCCAGCAGAUUCAACAAGCUUAUUCGGGUAAUUUCAAUUCAUUAACCAAUCCAAAACUCCUGUUCUUAUUGUGUUCUUGGUUGACCUAUGUAUUUUGACUCUUUCACCACUCAUAUUCAUUGUUCACAACAUUUUUUGAGAAGCACGUCUUUUAGAUGGUGGUAGAUGGCAAUAAGAAUCAUUUUAGCUUUGCAGUCUUCGACAU
Cucurbita pepo subsp. pepo (vegetable marrow) is the source of this 380-nucleotide non-coding RNA. NCBI's taxonomy places the organism in Eukaryota, Viridiplantae, Streptophyta, Magnoliopsida, Cucurbitales, Cucurbitaceae. The record is from RefSeq and is a predicted model, not a curated record.